CAGAAUAUAGCGAUAAAUUGGCGUCUUUUAUUUUGGCGGUGUGUGACCGCAGUGGCUCAGUACUGGGUGCGGUGCUCAGAUGACCUCAGGGUUUUGUUUGAAUAUGGAUCUCUACCAACUCAAUCCAUUCUUCUAUGUUGUAGCUGAACCCACAUUGUCCCUGCUACUACUUGAAGGCUCAGAUGGGGCAGUUAGUGAAGAAGGUCCUUGUGAACGUUGCUCAUGAUCCAUGGUGCCUCCUACAGCUUCUUCCAAAGACAUGGCAGUGGAACUUGUCUGCUGUAUAAACAUAACAGCCCAGUGUUGCUCUUGUUAACCAAAGACAAAAAAAAAAGAAA
This is a long non-coding RNA of Cyprinus carpio carpio, 338 nucleotides long. Lineage: Eukaryota; Metazoa; Chordata; Actinopteri; Cypriniformes; Cyprinidae. The record is from Ensembl.